GCAGAUACUUCUCUCUUUCUCUCUUUCUAUCUUUCUAGACAUUCUCUCUGUCUAUCUAGACUACCACCAUCCUCCACCACCACACCACCACCAUUCUCCACCACCGCAUCAUCCCCACCACCACCGCAUCAUCCCCACCAUCACCAUCCCACUGCCGCCAACACCACCUCCACCACCGCAUCAUCCCCACCACCACCAUUACCGCCGUCUCACCUCCUCCGCCGCCGCCGCCACUCCUCCACCACCGCCGCCGCCCCACUGCUACCACCACCGUCUCACAUAUCUGUUGGAGAUCGUGGGGUUUGGAUGCUGCAUUUGUUCUUUGAAGAAGGUUAAGUUUUUAGAUGUUGUUUGGGCUUUUAAGUGAUUUAGGAGCUGGAUGCAUAUUUUUUUUAGCUAAACAUCGCAAGUUGAUUAUUGCGAAUAUAGUUCUACUCAUUAUUUGUUCUAAGAUUAUAGCCCUCAUUUGAUUCUAUUGAAAAUUUUAGUUGU
Molecule: long non-coding RNA, 492 nt
Filed under: Helianthus annuus (common sunflower)
Lineage: Eukaryota; Viridiplantae; Streptophyta; Magnoliopsida; Asterales; Asteraceae
Description: hypothetical non coding rna
Source: RNAcentral